Molecule: ribosomal RNA, 450 nt
Filed under: uncultured prokaryote
Description: bacterial SSU rRNA
Rfam family: Bacterial small subunit ribosomal RNA
Source: RNAcentral
UGGGGAAUUUUGCGCAAUGGGCGAAAGCCUGACGCAGUAACGCCGCGUGGAGGAUGAAGGCCUUCGGGUUGUAAACUCCUGACAGGGGGAAAGAUGUGCCCUAGGUGAAUAUCUCUGGGUGCAAGACGGUACCCCCAAAGGAAGCCCCGGCUAAUUCCGUGCCAGCAGCCGCGGUAAUACGGAAGGGGCAAGCGUUGUUCGGAAUCAUUGGGCGUAAAGGGCGCGUAGGCGGUCCCGUAUGUCCGCUGUGAAAUCACACGGCUCAACCGUGUUGUGUCGGCGGAAACUGCGGGACUUGAGGCUGGGAGGGGCCAGUGGAAUUCCCCAUGUAGCGGUGAAAUGCGUAGAGAUGGGGGAGAACACUCGUGGCGAAGGCGGCUGGCUGGACCAGUUCUGACGCUGAGGCGCGAAAGCGUGGGGAGCAAACAGGAUUAGAUACCCCCGUAGUCC